Thalassophryne amazonica is the source of this 91-nucleotide long non-coding RNA. RefSeq lists it as uncharacterized. The record is from RefSeq and is a predicted model, not a curated record. Lineage: Eukaryota; Metazoa; Chordata; Actinopteri; Batrachoidiformes; Batrachoididae. The transcript is spliced from 3 exons.
GGCUACGUCUUGAAGUCGUACAAUUCACUGUGUAACACGAUUUUUGUUACUGGCAAAUAAGUGUCUUUUUCCAACUACAUUUAUUGCAAAA